GGGGCGGUAGCUCAGUUGGGAGAGCGCUAGAAUCGCACUCUAGAGGUCGGGGGUUCAAAUCCCCUCCGCUCCA
This 73-nucleotide transfer RNA is filed under the name Planctomycetota bacterium. RNAcentral's name for it is "Planctomycetes bacterium (hot springs metagenome) tRNA-Ala". It matches the Rfam family "tRNA". From Rfam's summary of the family: Transfer RNA (tRNA) molecules are approximately 80 nucleotides in length. The record is from RNAcentral. Lineage: Bacteria; Pseudomonadati; Planctomycetota.